This 253-nucleotide ribosomal RNA is filed under the name uncultured bacterium. Its description in RNAcentral is "partial 16S ribosomal RNA". It matches the Rfam family "Bacterial small subunit ribosomal RNA", at positions 524 to 776 of the family's 1533-position model. The record is from RNAcentral.
UACGGGGGGGGCAAGCGUUGUUCGGAAUUACUGGGCGUAAAGGGAGCGUAGGCGGGUUAUCAAGUUGGAGGUGAAAGCCCAGGGCUCAACCUUGGAAUUGCCUUCAAAACUGAUAGCCUAGAGUAUGAUAGAGGUAAGUGGAACUCCGAGUGUAGAGGUGAAAUUCGUAGAUAUUCGGAAGAACACCAGUGGCGAAGGCGACUUACUGGAUCAUGACUGACGCUGAGGCUCGAAAGCGUGGGGAGCAAACAGG